UGCUUAAUACAUGCAAGCCGAGCGGGUAGCAAUACCAGCGGCGCACGGGUGAGUAACACGUAAAUAACCUGCCUUCAAGUUUGGGACAACAAUUCCAACGAACUGCUAAUACCGGAUGUGGCGAAUUUUCGGCAUCGGGAAUUCGUUAAAGUAGCAAUACGCUUGAAGAUGGAUUUGCGGACUAUUAGUUAGUUGGGGAGGUAAUGGCUCACCAAGACGAUGAUAGUUAGCCGGUCUGAGAGGAUGAACGGCCACAAUGGGACUGAGACACGGCCCAUACUCUUACGGGAGGCAGCAGUAAGGAAUAUUGCGCAAUGGAUGGAAGUCUGACGCAGCAACUCCGCGUGAUGGACGAAGGUCUUCGGAUUGUAAACAUCUUUUAUCUGUGAAGAAAAGUUAAACAUUGACGGUAGCAGAUGAAUAAGCUCCGGCUAAAUAUGUGCCAGCAGCCGCGGUAAUACAUAUGGAGCGAGCGUUACUCGGAAUCACUGGGCGUAAAGGGUGCGUAGGCGGUCGAAUAAGUCGCAGUUUUAACUUUGGGGCUCAACCUCAAUUGUGAUUGCGAUACUGCUUGACUUGAAUACUUGAGAGGUAAAUGGAAUUUCCGGUGUAGCGGUGGAAUGCGCAGAUAUCGGAAAGAACACCGAUGGCGAAGGCAGUUUACCGGCAAGAUAUUGACGCUGAGGCACGAAAGCGUGGGGAGCAAACAGGAUUAGAUACCCUGGUAGUCCACGCCGUAAACGAUGGACAUUAGUCGUUGGUUUGCAAAAAUCGGCGGCGCAGACAACUUGUUAAAUGUCCCGCCUGGGUAGUACGACCGCAAGGUUGAAACCCAAAGGAAUUGACGGGGACCCGCACAAGCGGUGGAGCAUGUGCUUUAAUUCGAUGCAACGCGAAGAACCUUACCCGGUCUUGACAUAGUUCUGAUAUCCGUAGAGAUACGGCUUUCAGCAAUGACAGAACAUACAGAUGCUGCAUGGUUGUCGUCAGCUCGUGUCGUGAGAUGUUGGGUUAAGUCCCGCAACGAGCGCAACCCUUGCCGAUAGUUGCCAUCAUUAAGUUGGGCACUCUAUCGGGACUGCUUUCGCAAGGAAGAGGAAGGUGGGGAUGACGUCAAAUCAUCAUGGCUCUUACGACCGGGGCUA
RNAcentral lists this ribosomal RNA (1145 nucleotides) under uncultured Chitinivibrionia bacterium. RNAcentral's name for it is "bacterial SSU rRNA". It matches the Rfam family "Bacterial small subunit ribosomal RNA", at positions 45 to 1216 of the family's 1533-position model. Lineage: Bacteria; Pseudomonadati; Fibrobacterota; Chitinivibrionia. The record is from RNAcentral.